Molecule: long non-coding RNA, 2203 nt
Organism: Gasterosteus aculeatus aculeatus (three-spined stickleback)
Lineage: Eukaryota; Metazoa; Chordata; Actinopteri; Perciformes; Gasterosteidae
Source: Ensembl
UUUUCUCGUUUUUCUUCACGUUCACGGACGGCAGUUUCGAACAGAGAGCACGCGAAUACUACCCUCACCCCCCCCGCCCGUCGGUCGGUCCGCCAGCAACGAAUAUCCCCCCCGCCGCGUUAUUCCGCCGAUCUUCUUGACCGAGCACACAGCGAGUCUGCUGCGGAAGGUGCGCUGGUCCUGCAACCCGACUGGAGAGACUGAGCUGCCCCAGAGCCUCUGAAGGGUCCUGGUCCUCCUGCUCAGGAGUCUCUGUGAUGCGGCCCUGGCUCGGCGUGUUGCGAUGAUCCAGCAUGGCCAAGUACGGAUCCUGUCGUGCUGCUGAAGCCUUCAGCAUCAGGCGCUUGGCUGUCUUCACCGCUGACUCCGCUUUCCUGUUACUCUGCGGGUAUCCUGGCAACGAUGUCCUGUGUUCAAAGUCCCACUUUCGGCUGAAGUUGUCACGGUGAGAGGAGUGGAUCCUGUGAGUGAUGUCCACCCUGAAUGCGUCAGGUAUCGCGGCUCUGUCCCCUCGGAACACUAUGUCAUCCUGGAAACUCAUCUUGGAAGGUGUGGUAGUGCCUGAUGUCACUUGCCCUGAUGGCACUCAGCCUCUCUGCUGAAAUGGGGGAAGGUUAUUCAGGAGCAGCAUGCAUAUCUGAAAAGAAAACACAAGAUGGUCCAGCUUCAAAGAAACCACAGCUGUUGUGAAUUUGAGAAAAGCUUUUCUUUCUGUGACGCAUGAAAAGAUCUCAGCAAGUUCUUCCUGUUCUACCCCACUCGUCUUAAACUGGGUUACAUAUGUGCGGUGAGAAUGAAUCAACCGUAUUGCUUUAGUUAUGUUUGCUUUCAACUCCAAAUAAACUAUAAUUCCGCAGAGCUUGUCAAUUGUAGAUUGUGCUGAUUGCGAAGGCCAUUUUGGUAAAGCGAGUUCUACUAUAGGGAUAAAUAAAUGUUGCUUGACUAGUGUAAAUCCACCCAUCAUCCUUCAGAAUUCUACAAUUUAAUAUUUAUUCCUGAAACCCAGAUGUCAUCCUUCUGACGCAAGUUUUAUGACCCUUUAUUUAGUUGAAUCAACAACAAGGUUGAAAUAGACGUGUAGAAAAAAAAUACAUGAGUAAAGCAUCUCCCACUGUCAGUGGGUGGAAAACAAUUCAUGACAUGCAGGAAAAUGCAAAGCCAUGAAUAACAUGUUCUAUUAAGAGAGUGUUUUCAGGAUGACGUGUUUGUGUUGGCCAACCCUAGAAGCUAGUGUCCUGCAUCAAGCAUUGGAUAUGUUUUUUUCACAAAUUAACUGCACUAAUAUUUUUGGAGCGGGAUACCAUCUAAAAAGUAAAGUUAGGUAGGUAAAGUUAGGUAAAAAAAGUAAAAAGAUGACACACUAAACUUUUGAACUAUAGUCUCGUAAACUUGAGUUUCCUCAACAGGGCUGUAAAGGCAGACUAGUUGGUGUGAUGUCUUUGGAGUCUUAUUUGGCCCCUUUAUACGGGUAUACAGGUAAAAAAUUCAUGAAUGAGGUAUUUACUGACUUUUUUAAUAUUACAGAACAGAUGCUAUUAAAUAUCUUCAGCAUGUUAACAACAAGCCUUCUUUCAGGCAUCUAACCAAAAGAAAGAUUCAAAAGAGGUUUAAACAAACAAAACAAAAGGGAAAAGAGAACUAGAGGUGUAAAACGCAGGUUAUUCUUUUUAAGGCUUUAGUACUCUUUCCUGCAGUCUUCUGUUGGUAUUAUGUAAAUAAAAUAGGUGAAUGGAAACACAUUUAAUGUAACUGCUAUUGAAAAACAGUCAGACAAGAUUCUACCUAUUCUACCUAAAUAUUCUCACAGAGGGCCAUUGGAGGAUAGAAUCUGUCUGGGACCUUUGGCACAGCCCCCACCUGUCCGUUCUUUAUUUCUUUCUGACUCUCACUCACACGCAGACAAAACAGGUGUUUUCAGUAGUUCUACACAAAACAUCUUCAAAUAAAUCUUUAAAUUUACACUGUAAUCGUGAACCAACUUGAAAUUAAAAUCAGAUGAAAGAGAAUCUAAUGUUUACAGUUGUAAAAAAUUCAGAAAUUGCACCGACCUUUCCACACCACAGGCUUCUUAACAUGCAACUAUUUGCGCCACACUGAACCUAAGGGUAACAAGAAACCAGUUCUACCUGUUAUGAUCACACCUGCCUAGGGCUCUAAACUUGCCCUGGACAAUAAGGUCAACGGGGUGGAUGCUACGCCCAAC